GAGGUCACCUGCCCUGCCCAGCAGCCGCAUGGAGAUCACCCAGUAGCCCUCAGGAGUCGGGGCUCCCACUUGUGAACCGGGAGCUCAGCUGAGACUCUCUGCGUGGCCAACCCUCUCCAGAGACCGGCUCCACCGCCAGCCAGAUUGGAUGCUGAGCGUGUCCACACAGCACGCACUCACUGGGACUCAGCGUGCUGGGACUCAGCUCCCCGCCGCCCAGUCCCUCGGGCCUAGGUCAGCUCGCCAGCUGGUGGCCUGAGGCAGAUCUCAGGACCUCCCUGUGCCUCAGUUUCCUCACCUGAAAAAUGGGAAUAAUUGGAGUUGCUUCCUCAGAGUACCCCUGCCCCUAGCUCCCUGCAGAGGUCCACGAGGCGAGACAGACCCAAAGAGAGAGGCAAGGACGUGGGCGUUGGUCGGUCUUGCGGGGAGGAGGUGCCGUGCUCUCCCCACUUCCUGACCCAGCAGAAAGCGCCCGGGCGUGUCCAGAUAAACCGCGCCUUAAUCGAGGCGCCAUUCCGGCCCGGAACAGGCCAGGCCCAGGGUGCAGAGUGGACACUCCCAGGUGUCCAAGCCGGCGAGCUCGGGUCCCGCAGAACCGGCGGCCCUGGAGACGCCCCGAGGGCAGCCCCGCUGCAGCCUUGCUCGGGUCCCCUAGCCCGGCGCCUCCGCAAACCAACCCACCGCGGGCCGCCGAGCCCCGCUCCGGGAUCCGCCGGCUGCCUCCAUCCCAGAAGAGUGCGCAGAGAAUUAAAUCUAGAUAUUUACAUGUUUAAUGGCUAAAGGAGCCUGUCUUCUGGCAGGGCAGGGAGGGCGCUCAGGUGGUUUAACUCAGCGCCGGGAUCCCGCUCAGCUGCGGGGGCCGCGAACCCCGCCGCUGGGCCGACGAUUGGGCCCCUCCGGAGCGCGGCGCCCAACGCGGGUUUCGUUGCGUCGGGGAAGUCCGUGGCCUGCAGCGUCCAGUCCCCAGGCUGUCAGCCGAGCCCUGGAGUGGGGCGUUCUCCAGGCCCCCAACCCCUGAUCCAGGCCGUUCCCCUCCCGCGCACCCUCCGGCGGGGGCUGCAGCCCGCGCCCCUCGCCGCCAAGCCCCAUUUUCCCACAGUGCAAACUGCAGCAAACGAACUGGUUUUCUCCUGAGCGCACGCUGCGGGGAGACGAUUCCAACGGCGUCCAGUGAGGAGGGGCCCAGGCCUGCGAGACGGGGCGCGUUCCUGUCCCCAGACCCCUCCGGCUGCGCCUCAACCCCCAGCCCGGCUCUCUGACCUGCAUCGGUCGGGCCGGGCACAGAGGAGGCAAAGCAGGCGGAGGCCGCGAGAGGAGAGCAGCCUGACCUCCCGCCUGAGCCCGGACCCUUCCCCUCGGGCACCCUCGGACGCCCCCGCCCCAGCGUGUUACUUUCUAGAUGGGGAAACUGAGGCGCGGCCAGGGCGAUGCGGCGGAAGUCCCGCGCCCGGCCGUCUCCCGCGCCUGCCAGA
This 1472-nucleotide long non-coding RNA is filed under the name Homo sapiens (human). Its description in RNAcentral is "HSALNT0254306". The record is from RNAcentral. Lineage: Eukaryota; Metazoa; Chordata; Mammalia; Primates; Hominidae.